CAUGAACCAUGCUUACAAAGAAAGCACUUCUUAUUGAAAUGAAUUCCUGCAUUUGAUAGCAAUGGACGCGAUGGAUUUCUUGGCUGGAUUUCUGAUAGUUUCUGAAAGGCCUUCACUUCUCUGCUGGCAGAGGCUGGCUUCAGUGUGACUUGUGCAACAUGAGACAGGCUGUGAUUUUUAUUUUAACUUGAAGAACCAGGUUGCAGAGAGGGAAGAAAAACUCACAAAGCUCCCAGCAAUCUAGAGGCUGAUUUUUCCCAAGCAAGCAAGUCUCUUUGGGGAGGUGAGGAACGAUUGUACUGAAUGAAGAGGUGAUCUAAGGUCAGCAUUAAAUAGAUGUGUUGCUUUUCCCAGAGUCGGCUGAAAAGAUCAAGUGACUUCCUCUACUGAAAAGUUACAAUUCGAUAAUUAACAGAAUUUCCUCACAGCUUUAUAGGCUUCAACUCUUAUUCUCUGAAGUGCUGACCUCAUUGCCUCCUCUCCUCUCCAGGAAGCAGCAGUCAGAAAUUGGAAUUUCAGAGGGGCUGGCAGAGUUGCAAUGUACCUGAGACACUAGGCAAAUAACCAAGGAAUGUGUUUGCUGGAUUACAUGAUAUAAGGAGGUGGUGGUAGAAGUGGAGAAUGUAUUCAGACCAUCAUACAUCAUUUUAUGGAAGAAAAAGCCUGACACUUUCAUUGGCAAAUAAAUCCUGGAGCUCUGAGUACUGGGAAGGACCUAAGAGGUCAGCUCAUCCAUCUUCACAUCUCUGGGCAGCUCUGCACUGAAAAUCCAUCCCCUAAAUGCAGCUGUCUAGUGGUUUCCCUCACUAUUCUCUAAGGAAGCUACCUUCCUGACCUUCUUUGAUAAGCCAUUUUAGUAUCUUAGUAGAAAGCAUGAAAUUGUUACUAAAGCACCUGCAGUGCAGUAGGGUUACGAAAUUGGAGCACAAAUGGAGUUAGGAGGCUGGACUCUGAGACCAGAACAACCUGGGUUUGAAUUCUGAAUUGAACACCAACUAACUGGGUGACCUUGUGCAAGUUAACCUCUUAAAAAAAUGAAAUAAUAAAAAAGACAGUCCUGAAGAUGUUAUAUGCACAUAUAUACACAUAUAUAAUAUAUGUAAAUGAUAAAUAUAUACUCAAUAAAUACAGACGUACAAAUAUAUACUCGACAAAUGUCUCUUCUCUUCUUCCUUUCUUCUAUUCCUC
Molecule: long non-coding RNA, 1188 nt
Filed under: Homo sapiens (human)
Lineage: Eukaryota; Metazoa; Chordata; Mammalia; Primates; Hominidae
Description: HSALNT0182267
Source: RNAcentral